Hippocampus comes (tiger tail seahorse) is the source of this 225-nucleotide long non-coding RNA. RefSeq lists it as uncharacterized. NCBI's taxonomy places the organism in Eukaryota, Metazoa, Chordata, Actinopteri, Syngnathiformes, Syngnathidae. The transcript has 3 exons. The record is from RefSeq and is a predicted model, not a curated record.
UUGCGAGUGCGGACACGUUUGGAAAUGGACGGGUUGAAAGUAAAAAUUAGUCAGAUUACUGGGCCAAAGGCGCAACUGCCAGACUCGGAGGACAUGCGGAAGGGACGCCAACUUGCAUUUGGACGCAUGAGUACUGAGCUAUGUGGUGUGCUUGAAGAGCUGAUGUCUGAUGUCACGUUGCACCACAAGGUGGAGAGUAGAUAAUCACAAAAGCAGAGGAAAAAG